This 447-nucleotide ribosomal RNA is filed under the name uncultured bacterium. RNAcentral describes it as "bacterial SSU rRNA". It matches the Rfam family "Bacterial small subunit ribosomal RNA", at positions 331 to 794 of the family's 1533-position model. The record is from RNAcentral.
CCAGACUCCUACGGGAGGCAGCAGUGGGGAAUAUUGCACAAUGGGGGAAACCCUGAUGCAGCGACGCCGCGUGGGCGACGAAGCGCUCCGGCGCGUAAAGCCCUGUCAGCAGGGAAGAACAAAGACAGUACCUGACCAAGAAGCCCCGGCUAACUACGUGCCAGCAGCCGCGGUAAUACGUAGGGGGCAAGCGUUAUCCGGAAUUACUGGGUGUAAAGGGUGAGUAGGCGGCAUGGUAAGCCAGAUGUGAAAGCCUUGGGCUUAACCCGAGGAUUGCAUUUGGAACUAUCAAGCUAGAGUACAGGAGAGGAAAGCGGAAUUCCUAGUGUAGCGGUGAAAUGCGUAGAUAUUAGGAAGAACACCAGUGGCGAAGGCGGCUUUCUGGACUGAAACUGACGCUGAGGCACGAAAGCGUGGGGAGCGAACAGGAUUAGAUACCCGGGUACU